ACGCUCGACACCUACGGGAGCAGCAGUCGGGAAUAUUGCGCAAUGGAGGGAACUCUGACGCAGUGACGCCGCGUAUAGGAAGAAGGUUUUCGGAUUGUAAACUAUUGUCGUUAGGGAAGAGAAAGGACAGUACCUAAGGAGGAAGCUCCGGCUAACUACGUGCCAGCACGCCGAGUAUCNGAGCGGNNGANAG
Molecule: ribosomal RNA, 193 nt
Filed under: uncultured bacterium
Lineage: Bacteria
Description: partial 16S ribosomal RNA
Rfam family: Bacterial small subunit ribosomal RNA
Source: RNAcentral